RNAcentral lists this ribosomal RNA (408 nucleotides) under bacterium enrichment culture clone ALO1_GLFRUDD03FW2B9. Its description in RNAcentral is "bacterial SSU rRNA". It matches the Rfam family "Bacterial small subunit ribosomal RNA", at positions 9 to 417 of the family's 1533-position model. The record is from RNAcentral.
GAGUUUGAUCAUGGCUCAGAUUGAACGCUGGCGGCAUGCCUUACACAUGCAAGUCGAACGGCAGCACGGGAGCUUGCUCCUGGUGGCGAGUGGCGAACGGGUGAGUAAUGCAUCGGAACGUAUCCUGGAGUGGGGGAUAACGUAGCGAAAGUUACGCUAAUACCGCAUAUUCUGUGAGCAGGAAAGCGGGGGACCUUCGGGCCUCGCGCUCUUGGAGCGGCCGAUGUCGGAUUAGCUAGUUGGUGAGGUAAAGGCUCACCAAGGCGACGAUCCGUAGCAGGUCUGAGAGGAUGAUCUGCCACACUGGAACUGAGACACGGUCCAGACUCCUACGGGAGGCAGCAGUGGGGAAUUCUGGACAAUGGGGGCAACCCUGAUCCAGCCAUGCCGCGUGAGUGAAGAAGGCCU